RNAcentral lists this ribosomal RNA (468 nucleotides) under uncultured bacterium. RNAcentral describes it as "partial 16S ribosomal RNA". It matches the Rfam family "Bacterial small subunit ribosomal RNA", at positions 28 to 507 of the family's 1533-position model. The record is from RNAcentral.
GACGAACGCUGGCGGCGUGCUUAACACAUGCAAGUCGAACGGAAAGGCCCUGCUUUUGUGUGGUGCUCGAGUGGCGAACGGGUGAGUAACACGUGAGUAACCUGCCCUUGACUUUGGGAUAACUUCAGGAAACUGGGGCUAAUACCGGAUAGGAGCUCCUGCUGCAUGGUGGGGGUCGGAAAGUUUCGGCGGUUGGGGAUGGACUCGCGGCUUAUCAGCUUGUUGGUGGGGGAGUGGCUUACCAAGGCUUUGACGGGUAGCCGGCCUGAGAGGGUGACCGGCCACAUUGGGACUGAGAUACGGCCCAGACUCCUACGGGAGGCAGCAGUGGGGAAUAUUGCACAAUGGGCGGAAGCCUGAUGCAGCAACGCCGCGUGCGGGAUGACGGCCUUCGGGUUGUAAACCGCUUUCGCCUGUGACGAAGCGUGAGUGACGGUAAUGGGUAAAGAAGCACCGGCUAACUACGUG